GGAUGUGAGGACAAUCUGGCUGCGACAUCUGUCACCCCACUGAUCGCCAGGGUUGAUUCGGCUGAUCUGGCUGGCUAGGCAGGUGUCCCCUUCCUCCCUCAAUGUUCCAUGUGCAUCCCUGCCAAAGCUGCAAGCUCGGUCGAAGAGGACAACCACCCCCAAUAGAGGAGGACCGUUCCUUGGUCAAGGGUAUACGAGUAGCUGUGCUCCCCUGCUAGAACCUCCAAACAAGCUCUCAAGGAACCUGAGCCCAGGAGUUUCAGAGCUGCCUGAACAACACAGUGAGACCCAUCUCAAAAACAAAACCAAAAAGAAAAAGGGAGGGCUCUCUCUCU
This 335-nucleotide small nuclear RNA is filed under the name Chinchilla lanigera (long-tailed chinchilla). RNAcentral's name for it is "7SK RNA (ENSCLAG00000021996.1)". It matches the Rfam family "7SK RNA". From Rfam's summary of the family: 7SK was discovered as an abundant small nuclear RNA in the mid-70s but a possible function has only recently been suggested. Two independent studies have found that 7SK RNA binds the CDK9/cyclin T complex (known as elongation factor P-TEFb). P-TEFb activates transcription by phosphorylating the C-terminal domain of RNA polymerase II. Lineage: Eukaryota; Metazoa; Chordata; Mammalia; Rodentia; Chinchillidae. The record is from Rfam by way of RNAcentral.